UUCCUCUAAAUCUUUCAAGAUUUUCACUUGUUUUAACUUGGUUUUGAAGAUUUAAGCUUUUGAGCAAAGUUUUGGAGCUUGGAGGUUCAAGAACCAAAUCUCUCCCAACUCCGAGUUUUUGGUCGUCUCUCUCGAUCUUCAAGAGGUAAGAGCCGAUCUUAAGCUCGUUUUAUGUUUUAAAUAAGUUUUAUGCAAGAUCUAUGGGUUAGAAUGCAUGUUUAGGUUAUGGUUAUGUUUAUGGGUAUAAAUGUGUGUUCU
RNAcentral lists this long non-coding RNA (258 nucleotides) under Manihot esculenta (cassava). RNAcentral describes it as "long non-coding RNA (MESC_LNC005948)". The record is from RNAcentral. Lineage: Eukaryota; Viridiplantae; Streptophyta; Magnoliopsida; Malpighiales; Euphorbiaceae.